GAACGCGAAAGUCCCGCAAGGGAUCAGUAGAGUGGCAAACGGGUGAGUAACACGUGGGUGACCUGCCUUCGAGUGGGGGAUAACGUCCCGAAAGGGACGCUAAUACCGCAUGACAUCCUGCCUUUUAAGAGGUGGAAAUCAAAGCCGGGGAUCGCAAGACCUGGCGCUUGAAGAGGGGCCCGCGUCCGAUUAGCUAGUUGGUGGGGUAAUGGCUCACCAAGGCAACGAUCGGUAUCCGGCCUGAGAGGGCGGACGGACACACUGGGACUGAGACACGGCCCAGACUCCUACGGGAGGCAGCAGUGGGGAAUUGUUCGCAAUGGGCGCAAGCCUGACGACGCAACGCCGCGUGGAGGAUGAAGAUCUUCGGGUCGUAAACUCCUUUCGAUCGAGACGAAUGGCCUGCGGGUUAACAGCCNCGUGGGAGUGACGGUACCGAGAGAAGAAGCCCCGGCUAACUCCGUG
Molecule: ribosomal RNA, 465 nt
Filed under: uncultured bacterium
Lineage: Bacteria
Description: bacterial SSU rRNA
Rfam family: Bacterial small subunit ribosomal RNA
Source: RNAcentral